GUUCCAUAAAAACUAGUUGUUAAUUCCUGCGUCUUGAGAUUGCAGUUGUCCCCAGAGAGACAGCUCCUAGAGGAGAGAAUGUUCUGUGCUCAAUUUUGCCGAGGGCGCUGACUUCAGUGAACGAAACUUCUUAAUCUCCAAAAUGACAGGAGCAUGCCAGCAUCGGGGGAUAUGUGCCAACCAAGCCCUGCAAGAUGUUGCGUUACAUGUACUCUAUGUAUGUAAAGUGUUACAGUACUACUGCUCAACAGAGGUUCUGGCUGUGGAUGGACUGCACCUCAACAGACAUUGAGCAAGACGGUGACCGUACCUGCAAGAUCUGAGUGAUGAUUGGUUGUACGGAUUGUUGAUGGUGAUCACAUUCAGAGUGAUGAAGAAGAGUGGCCAGAGUUACAAGAGAUGGAGCCCGUCGUCAGAGAUGAUGUCAGCCUACCACCAGUGCAGUCUUUGGAACGGCUGUCUUAUGCCACUGUGCAGCAGGCACAACAUAGACUUGAAACCCCAAAGAAGAUGAAGGUCAAGCGACAGAAACAGAAAGACAAGAAUAUGGAUACUACCAAAAAGAUGUUAUUGUUGGCUAAUGGUGCUGAGCAGAACCUAGGACUGACUAUGAGUAGAGGAAUCUUCAACCGCAUUGAGGAUUGGUUGGAAACACUGCCAGAGGGUCAAGUCAACUCCAUGCAACAACUGAUUAGCUCUCCUGCCAUAUUUGAGAGCAGAGUUGAAUAUCCCACUCUUCAAUUCAGAUUCCUGUGAGCUUCUGGACCAUAUCCUGUAGCUGACCUGAUUUACAUUAAAGGGUAAAAGUUUUUGAAAGAGAUGGUUGUUUCAUUUCUCCUAGAAAAAGGCAACCCAAUGGAAAAUGAUGGGCGAAACAUCUUUGUUCAAAAAGGAUUACGAUAAAUACUGUGGUCACUGCUAUGGCUUCAAUAUGACAAGGACAGAAGGAAGAAAAGACCCAACAGCCUCACUGUAUUCACAACUGGUGAGCAGCACGAUGAAAGGAAGAAGGAUCAACCAAACCAGAGUCUACAAACUGUUCUAGUUCAUCUUUUUCACUGGACAUUUUUUUUAUAAAAAAUCUUGAAAAUGUCUAACGAAUCUAAGUGAUAACAAUUGUCAAAGAACUAUAAACAAAUGUGGAAUGUUAAAAAAAAAUUGUAAAAAAGAACAUUUUGAUGUUAACAGUGACUAUAAAUUACAUCCAGUUUCUGAAUUUAGAGUUUUUAUAUAUUUGUGUUGUAACUACAACUUAAUAGUCAAAUCAUUGAAAGCUGAGAUUGCAUCUGUAUUUUAUUGCACAAUAUUUGUCCUUGAAAGAACCUUUGAGUAUAAAUAUAUAUGAACAUUAUUAGCUCAAUGCAUAUUUCAAACUGCAUGUGCAUGUACUAGCAAUUGUUAAGGUUAUACAUCAUAUCUUUAGCCUGCUUACUUUGUAUAAAAUAGUCUGUUAUAAUAUUGAUAUUGUUGUAAGGCUAGAAUUUCACAAGUUUGAAAAGACUUUUUUUUUAAACAGUACAUAGACAAUGUUUAUAUAAUGUUGAGGGUAUUUUAAGAUUAGAUAAAUGCUGCACAAGUAUGUCAUUCAAAUAAUUGUAUUCUUGAUUUAAUUGAAAGAAUACCAUUUUUAGCUCAGAAAAAAAUUACAACCUAUUGUCGUGGCUUGAUUGUUGUCGUUGCUAGAGGUGUUGGUUAAGUUUUGCGUUUAAGUCACUUACAUGGAAAUCUAUCAAAGCUAUCACUUUGAAACUUUGGGAACUUGUUCAUUUAAUACCCUUCUUCACAUUGUACCCUAAAGAUGCUGAGCCUCACCUGUUUUUAUGGGUAAAAAUCUUGAAUUUUAAUGGAUUUUGGUUGAUUUUAAGAAUUGGACAUAGCUUCUUCUAUUUUUGUUGGAUGGAUUUCGUUUUUUUUUUCACAGACAAUAAAUGGAUAAUGCCUUCAAUAUAUCAAACAGGUUUUUGAUUCACCUAUUUGGGAUAAGGGGAGGGUGCGUUGUAUUUUAGGACUUUAUAAUUUUUAGUUAGUCUGAUUUUUUAAGAUUCAUGUUUGGGUUACUAACAAGCAAACUAUCAAAGCUAUCACUUUCAAACUUUGGAAUACCUGUUCACUAUCAAAUGUACAAUAUCUUACAUGAAAUAAAUAAACCGUAAAAGGAUAAAAUCAGACGAGCAUUCAGCACCCGCAGGCAGUGCUCUUGUUAUACAUUACCAACACAAAGUCCUUUUACACUGGUGUAUUGUUUUGUUACAAUUUUAAAAGGGAAGUACAACAUUUCAAUUUACUAUGUGUUUGAAUUGCGAAGAAGACCUUUUUUGCCAUUAUUUGCCUUAAGACAUAGUUAGUGAUAACAUAUAACCAGUUGAUUUCCUUCUUAUACAAUGUUAAGAAUGGUAUGAUAUUUUCAGGGUUUAAAGUGUCCUGUCACAUCACAUGUGAUUGUAAAGGGACUUGGUGUGUGGCACUGUAGUUAAAAUGACUUUGUAAAGGAGAAAACAGUUGGCUGUAAGGGAAUGGAGGAGGCCAAUACAUUAGAACUAGUUCAUUCUCAAAUUAUAGCAUACAAACAAGUGUACUUUAUUGAUUUGCAAUGUUUUUUUAAAAUGUUGGUUACGUGAAGAGUUGUUUGUAUUUAUUUUAAGUUGAAUGAUAAAUGUAUCAAUUGAUUUACAGUCAAAACGUCCCCAGGUCAAAACGUCCUAUGGUCAAAACGUCCCCAUUUUGGUCAAAACGUCCCCAGUAGCUGGUCAAAACGUCCCCAAUUUUUUUUUUUAAUUUAUACAUCAACUUCAAUGUUCCUGAAAGAUACAAUACAUUAAUACCUUUAUCUACAUACAGAUAAAAAAGAUACAAUACAAUAAUACCUUUAUGUACAUAAAAAUAAAAAAGAUACAAUACAAUAAUACCUUUAUGUACAUAAAAAUAUAUUUUUAACGACGUAUUUAACCAUUAAUAUACAUAACAAAACUAUAACUUUUGAUUUCAUUUAAUUUGAUCUCAUUUACACUUACUUUCACAUUAUAUGAGUAGCCGGCCGUGUCACAGAGGAGGUCGCGCAAUUUUCUGGAGCAAUUUAACAUAAAUGAUAUAACAUCCUAUAGUUGUUCGAGCGUCGUUAUAAAAAUAGAAAUAUAGCUAAAUUUGUUAGUAUAAUUACAUUAAAUAACAGCAAUUCAGGUAUAAAAGGAAAUAAUUUAUUGAUAUCUGCGUACCAUGUUCAUUUAUGGAUUAAACUAUUAUCUCUCAAAACAAUAACUUUCUAUAUACUAUCAUUGGUACCCUUCCAAGUUCUCCGUAUAACGCAAUUGAGUUUGUUGAUUUUUUUACUCCAAGUAUAUAGCGAAGAAAUUUCACAUGAAUCAUUUCUAUGUCGGUAGCUGGAUUCAUACCCCAGAUAAGAACUGAAGAAAUUAUUAAAUAUUUUAUAUAAUUUAUACAGUGAAAAAGAUGCUUGUUGAGCAAUCAGUUUUUGAGACUUAUUGAAGUUGCCAUUUUUAAACAAAUUGAUUCCCAAGUAAUUAAAGGAAUUAACAACUUCUAUUGGGUUACCAUAAAUCUGUAAGUCUAUAUGCGUUGCACUUCCAUUUUCAAAAAUCAUUCCAUUAGUCUUUGAUACAUUUAUUUUUAAUCCCCACCUGUCGCAGUAAUUUUCAACGUCAUUUAACAUUAAUAGUGAAUAUCACCCAAUAAUAACCCAUCCUUGUCCAUGAAAAUAGGGUGUGACACAGUCCAAAGGUGUCAAAAGAGACACUAUACAAUAGUGGCCUUGUAAACACAAUGACAGACACGUGCCUUAACAAAAGCAGUUGUAACUCCUAAAUAACGUUUAAUAUAAUUUGGUAUUAACCAAACAUAUUGCUUGUAGUUAGCUAUCAGAUUAUCGGUUGUAAAGCGCCUUUAAACGUGUAUAUGAAAAGGGCGCUAUAUAAGUUUAGUGAAUAAUAAUAAAUAAAAGUGGUCAAAUUAACACUGUAAUUAAGCAUUGAACAUGGCCUAUGUCCAUCGUAACACUGUUCUUUAAAAUAGAAUUGAGAAUACUAACUUUCUUGAUGUUUCACUAGAUGUUGCAUUAGUAGUUCAUUUUGUAAAAUAAUUAAAUUUCACAUUUAAUACAUAUCAUAUGCAUGUUGUAGUAUUGUAUUACAUAGACAUUAUAGUAAAGAUCCUUUAUCUCAAAUAUCAUUACGAAAGAUUGCAUUACAAAACUAGCUAAAAAUAAAAAAAAUUACUUCAAAUCGAAGUUGAACUCUCUCAAAAACAUCGAUCUUUCCAUAGUCCAAAAUUUCAGCUCCAUAAAGAGUAUAUUGGUUUCAUAGUUUAUCAAAGAUUUCAAUUUGUAAGUCUAUAGUUAAAGAAGGCAAUUUGCUUUCCGUAAUAAACUGUACAUUGCUCUAAUGUAGCCUGAUUAGCAAUAUGUACUUAGUAUUUUUGAAAAGAUCUGGUUCUACUGAAGUAUAUACCGAGGUAUUUAUAUUCAUUAACUAUAUAUCCAAAUAUACAACAGUGAUGAAGGUUUCUCAAUCUUCGACAGGUUAUCGGAUACUCCAUUCCUCACAGCUUUCACACUGGAUCCCAUGCUGAUUACGUCGCACGUUGUUCCCACAUGCGAUGCACGGGAAAUGAGACAUUGUCAAACACAAAUAACUAUAUUAUGUCCAGAUAUACAACACAUUUACAAGAUACAAUUUAUAUUUUAUCCUUUAUAAUUUCAAUGAUAAAUCACGUGAAUAAUACUGUAACGAGUGGUCAUAAGUGGUAUGACGCCUAUCCCAAAGAAGGGAUUUAUAAGGAACAUAUUUAACAAUUGUCACACUUAUUGCAGCAAACUGCUGACAUACUUUCCAAUUAAAGGCCACGAAACCUAAUUAUUGCAACAAAAUAAUUCACACUUCUUUAAUUUAAUCCAAUUACGUACAUCAAACACAUCGGCUACUUUCAUUGAAUGAUACAUAAUUAUCUAUAAGGUACAUAUUAUUUAUUACUUAUUUUAUUAAGGUACAUCAAAGAAAUUAAAAGAAAAAACAAAGUAAAUAAAUCGUUUAUUUCAUAUAUAAUACAAAAAAAGAACAGAGCCUGGUGUGUCGCCCAUGAUAAUGGCCUGAUGUGUCGCUCUUGACAAUCCACUAGUAUGUCCCAAUCACAUGUUUUGCUGAAAUAUAAAACAUAAUUCAUUUAUUAGUUUUAUUUUAACAUAAUAAUACAAUAAUUCUGGUGGGGACGUUUUGACCAGCUAAUGGGGACGUUUUGACUUUUGGUGGGGACGUUUUGACCAAAAUGGGGACGUUUUGACCGUAGGACGUUUUAACCUGGGGACGUUUUGACCUGCAACCGUAUCAAUUUUGUCUGAAUGAUGAAUGUAAGAUAUAUUGACUUGUAUCCAUGUCACAGUAUUGUCAUUGUCACAAUAUUUCUUUUUGUGAUCAGGUUUGAAUUCUUUGAAAAAUAAAC
This is an RNA transcript of Mya arenaria, 5448 nucleotides long. RefSeq lists it as uncharacterized. The transcript is spliced from 10 exons. The record is from RefSeq and is a predicted model, not a curated record. Lineage: Eukaryota; Metazoa; Mollusca; Bivalvia; Myida; Myidae.